CCUUGAGAUACCCUCUGUGACUGAGAAUCUCCACUCAAAUGGCUUCUUCAGACCACCAUAUGAAUGACCACCACCACCAUCAUCAUCAUGACCAUGACCAUAACCAUGAGGACACAAAAGCGACAUCAUGGGUAGGAGCAGAUGGGAAAGUAUACCAUAGUCAUGAUGGGUUGGCUCCUCACUCUCAUGAACCUAUUUAUUCACCUGGCUACUUUAGCAGAAGGGCACCUCCACUUAAUGACAGGAAUUUCAGUGAAAGAGCCUUUACUAUUGGAAUUGGUGGCCCUGUUGGUACUGGGAAAACAGCUCUAAUGCUGGCAUUAUGUAAAAUCUUGAGGGAAAAAUACAGUCUUGCAGCAGUAACAAAUGAUAUAUUCACGAAAGAAGAUGGAGAGUUCUUAAUAAAACAUGGUGCAUUGCCGGAGGAAAGGAUUCGAGCAGUGGAGACAGGAGGAUGCCCACAUGCUGCUAUUAGGGAAGAUAUAAGCAUUAACCUUGGACCUCUUGAGGAGCUUUCUAAUUUGUACAAAGCAGAUAUACUACUCUGUGAAUCUGGUGGAGACAACCUAGCUGCCAACUUCAGUAGGGAACUUGCUGACUACAUAAUCUACAUAAUAGAUGUAUCUGCGGGUGACAAAAUUCCUCGAAAAGGAGGUCCCGGAAUUACACAAGCAGAUCUCCUUGUGAUAAAUAAGACCGACUUGGCACCAGCUGUGGGAGCAGAUUUGUCCGUCAUGGAGCGUGAUGCACUUCAGAUGCGGGAUGGUGGCCCUUUUGUUUUUGCUCAGGUGAAGCAUGGGGUUGGCGUAGAGGACAUAGUGAACCAUAUCUUACAAUCCUGGGAAGUUGCAACAGGCAAUAAGAAGCGCUAAUUGAAAACUUCACUUGAACAUUGUGGAUCUUUUGGCUUAUCCAGUGCUAUUAUAUAACAUUCAAUUUCCCUGUUUCUGGACUAAUAUAAUCUGUCUACUGAAUAAUGCUUGUUAUGUACAAGCACCUAGUAUUUAU
Molecule: unclassified non-coding RNA, 1008 nt
Filed under: Hevea brasiliensis (rubber tree)
Lineage: Eukaryota; Viridiplantae; Streptophyta; Magnoliopsida; Malpighiales; Euphorbiaceae
Source: RNAcentral